RNAcentral lists this unclassified non-coding RNA (11889 nucleotides) under Leishmania donovani. Its description in RNAcentral is "gene:LdHU3.02.0720(CDS-product:hypothetical_prote in_conserved)". Lineage: Eukaryota; Euglenozoa; Kinetoplastea; Trypanosomatida; Trypanosomatidae. The record is from RNAcentral.
CUUCGUGGAUAUAGUCGCUGCAGAACCGAAGGGGGGAAGUGGACUUUUUAUCCACAUCGCAAGGAAAGCUAGUGAAACAGAACAUCAAGGUAAGGCCGGAUCUCUACAAAAGACGCCAGAGAAAUGCUCGACAUCAGCUGUGAGAGCAUUUUGUUUGAUGAAGUGGCCGUUAACGAUAUUCCGGCCUAUCGUCCUGUUCAAGUGAGGAACACAAGUGGAUCUCCACUGUUGGUGAAACUCACCACCACCAGCCCAGUCGUUCAGUUUCAGCUUCACAACGAAAACUAUGAAGCAAUCAAGCGCGUAGGCUUUGCUGACACUCUCUCCGUCUAUAGCGAAGCAUUUGAUCUCGUGGGCCUCAUCUCAUCUAUUGAAUUGGCGCCUUUCGAGGAAAAGGACCUCAUCGUGUGGUUUCGCGCUGAUGCGGCCACGUUUUCACACCUCGUGAAGGGAUCGCAGCCUGUUCCUUACACUGGAUCCCUGCAGCUCACUGUAGCGAAUCCAGCACCGGCGUCUUCCCUCGGAAACGCACUGAGGGUAGACGGAAAGAAGAGGGUAGCAACGCAGCAGCCGGCUGCCGCCUGCAUCACGAUACCGUUUCGAGCAAACGUGUAUGUGUCCUGUUUGCAACUCUCAUCCACUGAGCUGCAUAUCACCAUGGCUCCGAACAAAACCCAGGUGACUGACUUUGUCGUCACCAACACGUCCUGCCAGCCGGUGUACUUUGUCAUCCGUGAUCAAGCGAUGCCGCUACGUGGUCUUGAUGUUGCACUGUAUGAGUCUGAUAAAUUCGAAGAGCCAAAGUUAGGACACCGACUUCUGCUGGACAGCUACGCAUACAUGACUUUCUCGUUGAUCCUGCGAUCCUCCACGACUAGCUCGACUGCGCAGCAGCAGUACCACACCAUCUUUCAGUGCGACAACCUGCGCGAUAAUCGCAAUACGACAUUCUUGUAUGUGAGUGUCAACGUGGUGGCAGAAUCGCAAGGUGACCUCGUCGCGUUUCACGACACGUCCGUCAAUUUCGGCGACGUGUAUCGCGGCACUAAAGCGAUGGCGACCAUUAGGGUUCAAAGCCUCGAUGACCGCGAGGAGGCGGUGCUGCGACUUGGCGACGUGGAUCGGAGAAAAUGCGAGGGAAAAGUGUCGCUGAUGAAGGGUGACGCCGCCGUUGCCGAGAUGACAAUCGGCUCGCAGAAAGGAAAUCAGCUCAACACCGUCACACUAAUGUACCAGCCGUUCUACGACGGCGACAGCAAGGACGAAUCAAAAAUAAAGUUUGAUGUGGAGCUUUUGGUUGUGUCGGCUGAUCGCGGGCACAGCCAGCGCGUGGUUAUCCGGUGCGCAGCCGUUCUGUACACGAGCAACAUAGUGGUGUCGCAGCGGUCCGUCAACUUUGGCGACUGCCAAGUCGGGCAGAGCAAACGCUUCACGCUGCAGAUCGAAAACCGCUCGCCAUUGCCGGGGAAAAUCAUUGUACAGCUGCGCAGCAAAAUCAUUCGAAUUGAAGGCGUCUCGACCCCGCAGAAGCUUGCUGGUCGCGAGUUGAAAGAGGAGUUCUCUGUAGCACCGUCUGCAUCGCUCCCGAUAACGUUGCGAAUCACCCCGCAGCGUGUCAAUCCAAUGUACCGCAAGCAGCUGACAAUUAUCAACGCCUCUAAUCCGGCGGAGGACCGGCAAGUGAUCAACAUAGAGGCGAAUAAUAUGGCGCCGCUUGACGCGAAGCUGCACGAUGAGCUGUAUUCAUGGAAAUGCGACCUUGGCAAUAUCGACAGUACCAACAGUCGCAGGGGCCCGUCAACGCUGUGGGCUAUUUCGGGUGUACCACUGAUUGUUCCGUACAGUGUGCAGUCAAAGGUGGAUUACAAAGUGGUGCUGAAUCUGCGCUCCUCGUGCCCUGAGAUUGAGGUGUUCUACUCGUCCGAUGCAGUGGUCUGUGACCAGCUGGGAAAGAUCGCGACAGAGAUGCGCUCAUUUUGUGUUUACGGCGAGAGCGAGGACGCCAGUUACCUCACAAAUGAGUCGGCGGAGCAGCUUUUCACCGUGCGUGAAGAGCUGCUGCGACUCUUGAACGAAACGUCGCACAACAUUACCAACCGCAUCACGUUGGAGCCAUUGGUGUCGAUAAAGGCGUACGUGCUGAUUAUUCGCACAGCCUCUCCCACAGAGCCGCUGACGAAGGAGGACGGUAUCUCGAUAGCGGUGGACGGAAUUGAGGCGCCGCGCUUUGUGCGGCUGUCGUACCGACUCUGCGGCACGUCGUUUGAGUUGAAUGGGCAAAAGACGAAGAAUUUCGGCGAGGUGAACAUCGGCGUGAAGAAGACGACAAAGCUGCCAAUAGUGAACCGUUGCAAUUCGUUUUUGUACCUUCAUCUGUCGAAGUCGCGCUCCGUGACAGCCGAGCAUAUUCGCAUGGAAAACAGCGACAGGCGGUCCAUCUUUCUCACGAUUCGUCCCUACGCGUCGCGCGAGAUCGAGCUAACUCUGUAUCCUGGCAUCAAGGGCGUAUUUCAGGAAAAGAUUCGCGUCUCGAACAUACUCAAUAUCAAGAACACAAUAACCAUGACACUCAAGGCGACGGUGACCAAGGCAGAUACGUUCGAAAUCAGCCCAGAUUCGUGGACGUUCGAGAUGAUGGUCCCUUCCUCGUCAAGCGUGCCUGUGCUCUUGACAUCAUCGCCGCCGUUUCCAAAGGCAGAAGAAGCCGCUGCCGCGGCGAAUACUCGCAUGGGUGCAAAGUUCACCGUAUCAAACACGAGUAACGCGCGCCGGCAAAUUGUUGUUCGAUUGGAGCUGAAUAGCGGCGCCGCAGCGAGCAACGUGAGCGCAGCGAACCCCUACUUGUCAUUUGCGGGUGUGAAGGUGGCGGUGCAGCUGGACAUGACGCUGAGUGGGGCGACCUCUGUCUCGGCACGCAAGCUGGAGGAGCAAAUCGAAAAGCUAGAGCAGAAGCUGAAGAUUUACGUGCGGAAAAAUAAGACGGAAAAGGCCGAAAACGCAAUGCGCAAGAUUGCGGCAUACAGACUGGCGUUGAAGGGUGAAGAGGUCGACCUGACGGCUCUGGAAGCAGCGCAGUCAGGCAUGCAAAGCACCACCGAUCACGAGCUCUCGGAGAGCGAGGAUGACAGCAGCGGUGCUGCGCUGCAGGUGUGGAGGAACAAAACCCAACAGGGUGACAUUGUGCAGCUACUGCGCCGCGAAGGCGUCGCGUUGCCAUCAAUGGACACCGGCGAAUCCGUCAUAAUCACGUUGUUUCUCGGGUGUAAACGUCUCGUGGAGGAGCCGAUCCCAGUGUCACAGGCCCAGACAAUGAACCUACUCUUCUUUGAGGCGCGAGAUCAGGAGGCAAAUCGCAUUAUUCCGAUCGACUUGAUCCUGAUGCGCACGCCCGGCGACGCCGCGACGCAGCAGCUGCUCGCUGCUCCAUCCGUUGGGGCAACACCGCAGACGGUGUUGCCUUUUACAGCAGCCGCGCCCGCUGUCGUUGCGCCGUCGGCGUCUCCGUCGCUACCGUCGCCGUCGCACCGGCACAGCGAGUCGUUGCAGCUCUCGCCCGAUAACGCCACGGUCACGUCCGCGUCUGCAUCUGGCGGCGCCUUGCAAAGUGGCAGCUCUUUUCCCGGUAGUAGUGGAGCAGCUUCUCGCGCUGUGCAGAGUCGUCCACCGCCAUGCAUUCGUCUCAUUACAACAGGCCCCCACGCUGGGAACAGCGAUGGACGCCCUCAAUCCACCUUUAUGGGGCACCCCUUGAUUGUCUUGCGCAACUGCAUCGUGAAUGACCAGACCGAGUUCAGCUUUGUGGUGAAGGCCAACGCGAACACAACGAUCGUGGUUCUCGAGCCGCGGCGAUGCGGCGGCAGCGUUGCAGCGGUGCUGGAUGCGCGCUUCAAACUCUUUCCUCGAAACGGCCACGUGCGUCAACAGGAGCCACUGCGCAUUGUCGUGGAGUGCACGGCGCGGAGCGUUGGCCCCCAAAAGUACUUCAUUCCUGUGAAAAACAUCUGCAACGCUGCUGACGUGCAGUACCUCACGGUCGAGAUGAAUCCAACGGAGGAGAUCGAGAUGCUGACGACGGAGCCGAAGGAACUGCUGUUCCGCGACGUCAUUACACCGUGUGCGGCGUCGCAGCUGGAGACGCAGCUUGUGCUGAUCCGCUGCCGCUUCUCCUUCCCGCAUGCCCUCAUUGUGCGCACCAAUAAGCCGUCACAGCUGGCUCUCUUCGAGGAUGCGUCCUGCACGGUGCCGCUGCUGCACCCGAUACGCCAUAUCUUCGUGAAGGAGACAGUGCGUGUGUACGUGCAGCUCCGUCCUGGCGCCCGAUACGUUGAUCCGUGCGCACGGCAAAUCCGCGCCGGUGUUCUCGUGGAGGCGGUGGCGCCGAAUCCCGCCGUGUCGAGCACCGCGUACUGCGUGGUGGGGAAGGCGAUUCUGCGCACGACGGCGUGCGUUGGCAGUGGGCUUCUCGAAGUGCUGCAGGGAAGCCUCGACCUGGGGUGCGUGGCGCCAACGCAGGAUUACGUCAAGACGCAUUUUACGGUGCGCAACACCUCCCACACGUUUGCUUUGCGCGUUGCGCUCGUGCCGUCAUCGCCGCUGCUAGAGGUUGCGGAAGAGACGUCCGCUGGCAACGAAAUCGUGGUGGCUCCUCUCCAGGAGCACAUGGUUCCCAUGCUGGUUCAUCUGCCAGUACCUGGCCUCACGUGCGAGUUCGUCGACGUGAUGAACCGCAGCAGUUCGCAGGAGACAAUGCGGGUGCCGCUGUCUGCACUGAGAAUGAAUGACGGUAUCAUGCAAGUGGACCCGCCUGUCAAUACGCGGCUGACCUUUCCAGUCGCCGCGGUGGUGCGAGGCGAGCAAGGGAGGCAGCUGCAUCUGCAUCAGCCUGUUUCGUACUCGGUAAAGCUGGCAAACUACAAUAACCACCGCGAGGUUGUCCUGGAAACGACAACCGCCGUCCACGCGUCGUGCGCGCUGCCGCUGUGGUUCCACACGCCGGACGACGAGUCAAAGGUGCGUGCCGCCUUUGAAGAGGAACAGCGUCAUGCGCUGGAGGCGGCGGACGACUCGCCGACGUCGACGUCGGGGCAGAUGAGUGAGCCGCGCGCGGGGACGGUCGCGCCGACCACGACACCGGUGGCCGACCAGCCGCCGGCAAUGUACACGAGGGGUCGUGUGGAGCUGAAGGCGAACCACACCCAGAUUGUCACAUGGACGUUGACCAGUUUACCCACGCUCACGUCAGAGGAGGUGGCGGCAGUGCUGCAGUAUCAGAUGGUGACUAUAACGACGACGCUGCAGGUGUACGUGACAUACACGGCGCACUCUGCACGCGCUGGCGCGGCGGCAGGUGGGUGGCAGCCCUACUCUUCCGGAACAACGCCGCAGGAAAGUCGGUAUCGCGGGCCAACUGUAGGUCAAUGCGUUCUGCUCGUCCCCAUCACGCUCUCGCUGGCAAUGAGUGAGGGCAGGGCGGAGCCGGCGGUGGUGAGCUUGGGGCUUGUGGGUAAGGCGACAUCGUUGCCCACCUCUCCCAGCUCUUCGGCUUCCUCCGUGUCUUCGUCCAACGAGGAGCACGAUGCUGCAACGGAGCACGGACUCGAUACCUUCGCAAGCGGCAGGGAGGAGGAGAUGGUCCUCGCGGCGCGUCAGCGCCGCCGUCGUCGUUCGUGCGUUUCGAAGCUGCGCCGUCCGCGAAACCACACCUUCAGCGCCUUUGCCUCCAAGCCGGGCCUGCCGCAGCCGUCGAGCCACAACAUGGUCGUCUCGUUCCGGCUUAUCAACUUAUCGGCCGUCAUACCGCUGCCGCUCAAGGUGGAGUGCCCGCCCGUGGUGCGGUUCUCUCAGACGCGCCUGACGAUCCCACCAGGGGAGAGCACGGUUGUCCAGGCGGCACUGAACAUGAAGCUCAUCGCGACGCAAGGGACGUUCCGUUACGAGGCCUUCUUUGUGAACGAAUGGAAUCCGGAGAACGACAUGGCGGUCUGCAUCACGGGGCAGCACUACUGGAAGGUGUUUCAGGUGCUGCGGGCCGACACGCAAGAGGAGGUGCGCGAGUCGCUCACAGUGGCACCGCUGCGCGUGGAGCCGUCGCUGCGGGUGCCGCUCGCCGAGGUGAAGCUGCACUUUGCCGCGACAGAGCCGGACGUCGAGCUCGAUCUGCAUCUGCAGCCCAACCCCCAGCUGGACGGCCUGCUGGAGCUUCUGCUGCUGCACUACGACGCUACCUCAGCCGUGCGGCACCUGAGCUUCCGCUCAGACGCCGUGACACCCACCUCCCCGGCCGCCACAAGCGUUGCAGGCGGGGUAGCAGCCGCCAGCGCCGUGCAGGGAAGCGCUGGCGCGGCGGCGGCCGGGAUGACGAGCCUCACCACAAGUGGCGCCGCUCCUCCAGCCAGCGGCAGUGCGAUCGCCGUGGCUGCAGCAGGAGCUGGGGCUGGGCUGGGCGGUGGGCUCGCCACAUCCGGGCCAGCCAACACGAGCAUUGGCCUGCCUAGCGGGGGCACGCCUGGCAACCUGCAGCCCGGAACCCCGUCAGAAGUCGCGACGACAGCGACAGCGACAGGGUUUCCAGCGCUCGGUGCGACCAGCGCCGUGUUGCCAGUCGACGAGUUUUUCAGCGCGGCUGCGACCGCCCCGGCCGGUGCCGCGAGUGGCGCUUCCAUCGCUGCUGCAGCCGCGAUCAAAGGGAAGUCACGCAAGACGGGCGCCAGCAGUACUGCAGGCACGGUUGGCACGGCUAACGGCGGCGCAGCGACUGCGGCCACACCCUCGCAGACGCUGCGGCUCCGCUGCCUGCUGCGUAGCGGUGACUUGAGCUCGCUUGUAUCUCUCUUCUAUGGCUACCGGAAGGCGCGCGCGGCCGGCACUUCAGCACAGGCGACCACCGCCACAACAAAUGCGAAAGGCAUCGGUGCCGGUGCGGCGACCACGAGUUCCACCGUAGCGGUGCCGCCGGCCCCACCGGACAUCACGGCAUUGGAGACUGCAGGUGCGAACAGCAACGCCGGCGCCGUUACCUGGACGUACGACCGGAUUGCAGAGCUGGAACGGCGCAACGCGUCUCUGGCGUCGAACAACGUGUGGCUUGGCACCGUUGUCGUGAAGAACCCUUUCACAGAGGUGGAGGAGGUGCAGGUGUACGGCACGCUGGCGCCAUUUCGCACCUUCUCGGCGCCGUCUAAGGUGAUGCUAAGGCCCUGCCGAGUGAGCGUGGAGUCGGUACCACGGCCGAGCACCAGCGCAGCUGCUCCACAGGCCUCCACGCACCGCGGUGCACCUCAGGUGGGUUAUGUGGGUGAGAUCAGCAUAACAAACGAGUUUGACGUGUACGUAGCCGAGCUCUCGGUUGUGGUUCUCGUCCACGAGCGCCUCGCUGUGCCCCUGCAUAUCGACGUGCGCGGAGGGUGCCGCCAUGCGGUGGACACGGUAUCACCCGAUGCAGCAGCGGGCGCAAUACCGUCCGUGCCUGAUGCAGCGCUUGAGGACGAGGAGGCCACUGAAACGGACAUCGGCACGACAUCUGCUUUCAGCGCAUCACUGCGUCCAGGAGUGCCGGUUGCCACGUCGUUCCUGACGGAACUCGCCACAGACGGCGCCGGGCCGGUGUCGCUGCCUCACUGCAUACACCUUGGCCCUCACGAGACCGUCGUGGUGACGGUGGCGAUUCGCCCAGCGGAUGUGCGAACGCUUCAGCCAACCCCCAUGUCACCGACGACAGCCAUCCCCACCGCUCUGCCGACGCCGCUGUCGUUGCCUUCGCUGGAGGAAUUCGUGUCCGUGGCAUUGGUAGACGAGAACGCCCCGUUCAGCUACGUUGUGAGCCGUGUGAGCGUUGUGACGCCGACGAGUGGGGCAGAGGCGCUGCCCAGCAUCGUGCUCAGCUCCGUCACCACCACCAACACGGCAGCGACGGCCACCAGUGUUGCUGCUGCGUCCGACGCGAGCACGAAGGACGGAGAGGCGGAAGCUCGCCCCAGCGCACCGCUUCCACCAGCCGCGCACCGGGACGACUCGACCGGGCCGCUGAUGACGCCUUCGGCCACGUUGGCAGGCGAGGGGCUAACGAUGGUACUAACGACGCCGACAGCAUCGGAUGAGGCACCACAGCAGCUCAGUCUCUCCAGCAGCAAGCAGGCGUCUGACCUGGUCCUCGCCGGCGGUACUGCAGCAGCGGCAGCGACGGGCGAGCCGGAGGCGGAGCCUGCAGCCGAGGUGCUGCUGCCACCGCAAGGUAGCACGCCAUGUGGUUCAGAGGGCGCGGCAGAGGGACCGUUGGUGCCCCUUGCUGGCGUAAUCACGACGCUGGCGCCGUCGCUUGCAGCCGCGCCGCGUCAGUGGGUGUUGUCCCUCCGAAACUGCGACGCGUUGCCCGGGUGUGGAGGGGCGUACCUCUUCAACUUCUCUGUUCCGCGCGACGACACAUACGAACCAAACAUCCUUAUCACGAAUCACGCGCCGGACAGGACGGUGCGGUACACAGUGCAGGUGAUCUCGCAGAGCCCGCAGGUGUGGCUGCUCCUUACCACAACAACGGGGGUACUGGAGGCGGGCGAGACGCAGCCGCUGCGGUUGCAGGUGCUGUCAUCCGAGGUCGGCUCCUUCGUCGGCUACGUGGCCAUCACGAACACCUGUGAUGCACGCGAGGUGGUAUACCUGCGCCUGAACGCAGAGGUGUUUGUGCCCGGCACGGCCGAAGGCUUCUUUGACGUCGUUGCCAUGAACGAUGGCCAUCGCCUCGCCACCACCAACGCGGGGCACAGCGUGUAUAUGGGCGCACUACACGGCGCUGGUACCAGCCGUGCGCUGAUGGCGCUGGAGAUCGUGAACAAGGGUAGUGUUGCGCUGGAGUUCCCUGUGUCGGUGGUGCAUCCGAUGCGGCAGGAGUUGCGGCCCAUUCCCCAGAGCGUCUGGUACGGCACGGCGGUGGCGGCGUCGGGGCACCGUCGCAGACACGUCGCCUCAGGGAUACUGCCUCAACGCAUUUCCUUGAACGACGACGGAAGCGCGGCCUCACUCACGUUGCCUCGAGCGUCACGUGCUGCGCUGGAUCAGCAGGCUGACCUCACGGCAGUCGGGUCUGCCGCCGGAACAGCAGCAGCAGCAACGCAGAAGGGUGCCGUUGAUGGAACUGUGCGCACCGCCGGCGGCAUCGAGGAAGCCUUGCCCACGACACAGCCGUUUGGUCAGCCGAAGCGACUUCUGUCGCCUCACCACACCAGUCUUCACCAUCAACGCGGCGGAGUGCGACCCGGCAGUGGCGUGGCGGCUGCGCCGACGUCUACCGCCUUAUCUUCCACGGCCAGCACCUCUGCCUCCCCGUUUGAGGGUAAACUGAUCGUGUGCCAGAUCCACGGCGUCCCGACACGCACGGGCCAGAGGUACUUCGUCGUCGACCCGCGCUCUCGCAUGCGACUGGCGUUUGUUCUUAGCUGCAACGCACUUCACGACAUCCCGGAGGGGUACGGGGUGUUUGGCCAGACCGAUGUGGUGUUCCGCUGCAAGCAGGCACGCGAUGCUCUAUUCAGCUUCAACGUGAAGUUCGAGGCGUACCGACCCACGUUUGCAGUGGCGCUUGAGUACGACAUGGACGCGGCGGAGAGGACUGCUGCAAGUGCAGGUGCCGUGGCCGCGCUGAGGUCGGAGGCGGUCGUGAGCUCCGCGGACGCGCUGGAGCCCGUUGACGGCAGCGCAUCCCCCAAAGCGUCUGCUGCCCCAUCUCUGCCAUCGCCGCCGGCCUCGACGGCGACGUCGCGCUGGGCCGAGGUGGAGGUGGCCGUGACAAAUCUGAGCCGCAGCCACACGCAGGUGUUCGUGCUGUACACGCAGUCGGAGGUGCUUUCGCUGUCAGUCCCCGGCGCGGGGCCAUCGGCUCACAGCGUGUGCGCCGGCAGCGCGCUUCUUCCGCCGCUUUCUCGUGCCGUCGCGGAGGACGACGGGCACGGCGCUGCCGCUGCUGCGGGCAGUAGUGGCGGCCCUGUCUUCGCGCCUUCCGGGGUGGAGAUAGCAGUGAGCCCGCAGUCCGUUGGCGUCUUUGCUGUUCGUCUUGAUCGGCUGCGAGCAGAGGCGCUCCUGAAGUUCGACAAGGACGAGUCGAUGCUGGCCCGCCCCGCGCUGUGCGAGCACGCGUUCCUGUACAAUAAGGGCAACCCUCGCGAGCGGGUGCAGCUUCUGUUCCGGCAGCAGGCGCUUCUGGCGCAGCCACGGCGCCAAGCUCGCGCAGCCGCCGGGUCCUCCUCGGCGGUCGACCCUUUAUCUCCGACGCUGGCGGAUGUGAAGCCGGUGAAGGGUGGCAGCCAACACUUCCGCGAGCGCCACAUUUUGGGCUUUGCGCAGCGCUUCUCCGCAGUCAUGACGUCGCUGGCGGAUCGCGUGCCAUUCCUGACGCGGCCAGAGGACGUGGCGGAGUCGGUGAGGUCGCACAAGAGUGUGGCAGGCAGCAGCAGCACCGGUGUGGGUGGUGGAGGCGGUGGCAGCGGCGCAGCAAGCACCACUGGGGGAGGGGGAGGAGAUGGCGUGGGCAGCGUCGCGAAUGCUGGGGCCGCAGCGGGAGUCGCAGCAAUGCGGGUUUCCGCAGGCACCGCAGCGUCCACAGUGGCCGGUGUCACCAGCAGCGUCGCCUCCUCGAAUUUCAACGUAGCGCAUCACUCCACUAGCAGGAACCAGCGUAGUCACCGAGACAGAGACAGUGGCCCUGUUGCACAUCGGGGUAACACACACCGCUCCAGGCAGGGCGAUUCUUUCCGCGACGACACGUCCGAUGGCGGUACUGCGAGCAGCAGCAGCGGCACCAGCUCCACCACAAGCAGUUGCUCCGGUGAUGUGGCCGACAGCGACGACUUCGCGAGCGAGAUUGCGGAGGUGGCGGCCGACCGAACACUGGACAGCACGCUCACGGAGGACAACUUCGACCAGCCGUCGCGCGAUGGCUGUAACGAUGCUAGCGACAUCGCAGUAGGGGAGGUGAUCGGGGAGAGCGGCGAGAGCGCUGCGACCGGGUGCCCCACAGACGCCCAGAACAGCAGCGGCGGGGCGUCUGGUGACCUUGCCCCUCAUGCGCUAUUCCGCUCGUCGUCCCACCCAUGUAUGCGUAGCAGUGAGGGCCCUAUCGGUUCGGUGGUCGCGUCGUCCCUCUCAUCUCUGCUGCCUUUAGGGACAUCACUGGCGCGCUCGAGCAGCGGUGGCAGCCAUCCCAGCAACGAGGACCCCCAUUGGUACGACACCCUUAUCACAUUGCACGACUUGUUGGUUGAGUUGACGUGGCUGUGUGAUGAGCUCCUCUUCUACGCGAUUCUGCUCCGCAAUUCUCGCCAUGUGGAGGCGUGCAUGGCCUUUCUCGUUUCGGCUGUCGCGCAGCAUCCUGUGAUGGUGGCGUGGCGUCGGCGCCGCGGCAGCACCGGUCGCUCUCGUAAGUACGACAUCUUUGGGCAGUUCCUUGAAACCCUCGACGCCCUCCCGCGUCUUUCCUCCACGUCUUCCUCUUCCGGUUCCUAACGAGCAACCGCAGUCCUGUGAGAGUAGUCGAGUAAGGAAUGCGGUGUCAGUGAUGCGUGACACCACGGUCUCUCUUUCUUUCUGUGUGUGUGUGUAUGAUGUAUGCUGGCUUCCUGUCUCGGGCUCCCCGCCCUCUUCUUGUCUCUUCCACGAAAAUGGUGUUCGUGGGAGCAACACACGCCCGCACAUCCUCGUCCGUCUGUCUGUGUCGCAUGCAUGCGCUAAACAGUGUCGUGGUGGUGACGGCGCUUGGCUUGUUGAUCCGUUGAUGUGAUGCUGCUUGCUGCUUGCUGCGUGCUGUCCUGACCAUCUGCCUCGGUGUCUCGACUUCCUUUUAUUUCGUGGAUGUCUCUCGUCGACAGUACUUUGAGCUUUCCGCCGCCACGGCAAACAGAAAAU